Molecule: ribosomal RNA, 211 nt
Filed under: Vibrio sp. enrichment culture DGGE band 17
Lineage: Bacteria; Pseudomonadati; Pseudomonadota; Gammaproteobacteria; Vibrionales; Vibrionaceae
Description: partial 16S ribosomal RNA
Rfam family: Bacterial small subunit ribosomal RNA
Source: RNAcentral
GUUUGACGUUAGCUGCAGAAGAAGCACCGGCUAACUCCGUGCCAGCAGCCGCGGUAAUACGGAGGGUGCGAGCGUUAAUCGGAAUUACUGGGCGUAAAGCGCAUGCAGGUGGUUCGUUAAGUCAGAUGUGAAAGCCCGGGGCUCAACCUCGGAACUGCAUUUGAAACUGGCGGACUAGAGUACUGUAUAGGGGGGUAGAAUUUCAGGUGUG